RNAcentral lists this ribosomal RNA (468 nucleotides) under uncultured bacterium. RNAcentral's name for it is "partial 16S ribosomal RNA". It matches the Rfam family "Bacterial small subunit ribosomal RNA", at positions 28 to 507 of the family's 1533-position model. The record is from RNAcentral.
GACGAACGCUGGCGGCGUGCUUAACACAUGCAAGUCGAACGGAAAGGCCCUGCUUUUGUGGGGUGCUCGAGUGGCGAACGGGUGAGUAACACGUGAGUAACCUGCCCUUGACUUUGGGAUAACUUCAGGAAACUGGGGCUAAUACCGGAUAGGAUCUCCUGCUGCAUGGUGGGGGUUGGAAAGUUUCGGCGGUUGGGGAUGGACUCGCGGCUUAUCCGCUUGUUGGUGGGGUAGUGGCUUACCAAGGCUUUGACGGGUAGCCGGCCUGAGAGGGUGACCGGCCACAUUGCGACUGAGAUACGGCCCAGACUCCUACGGGAGGCAGCAGUGGGGAAUAUUGCACAAUGGGCGGAAGCCUGAUGCAGCAACGCCGCGUGCGGGAUGACGGCCUUCGGGUUGUAAACCGCUUUCGCCUGUGACGAAGCGUGAGUGACGGUAAUGGGUAAAGAAGCACCGGCUAACUACGUG